CCCCUAUCAGGAGCGACGCAGGGACCUGGCCCAGUGACCGUCGCAGCAACCGGCCCUCAUCACGGCACGGUGCUCAACGCCAGCCCACCUCAGGUCAACGAUGACCGACGGUCGGAACGAUACGGG
This 126-nucleotide non-coding RNA is filed under the name Deinococcus maricopensis. Its description in RNAcentral is "SAM-I sequence". It matches the Rfam family "SAM riboswitch aptamer (S box leader)". From Rfam's summary of the family: The SAM riboswitch is found upstream of a number of genes which code for proteins involved in methionine or cysteine biosynthesis in Gram-positive bacteria. The SAM riboswitch acts at the level of transcription termination control. RNAcentral also lists the same sequence under 1 other name. The record is from RNAcentral. Lineage: Bacteria; Thermotogati; Deinococcota; Deinococci; Deinococcales; Deinococcaceae.